AUUGAACGCUGGCGGCAGGCCUAACACAUGCAAGUCGAGCGGUAACAGAUUGAUAGCUUGCUAUCAAUGCUGACGAGCGGCGGACGGGUGAGUAAUGCCUGGGAAUAUACCCUGAUGUGGGGGAUAACUAUUGGAAACGAUAGCUAAUACCGCAUAAUCUCUUGUCUUUUACGAGAUGGGAGCAAAGAGGGGGACCUUCGGGCCUCUCGCGUCAGGAUUAGCCCAGGUGGGAUUAGCUAGUUGGUGGGGUAAUGGCUCACCAAGGCGACGAUCCCUAGCUGGUCUGAGAGGAUGAUCAGCCACACUGGAACUGAGACACGGUCCAGACUCCUACGGGAGGCAGCAGUGGGGAAUAUUGCACAAUGGGGGAAACCCUGAUGCAGCCAUGCCGCGUGUAUGAAGAAGGCCUUCGGGUUGUAAAGUACUUUCAGUUGUGAGGAAGGCGUUGGAGUUAAUAGCUUCAGCGCUUGACGUUAGCAACAGAAGAAGCACCGGCUAACUCCGUG
This 506-nucleotide ribosomal RNA is filed under the name uncultured bacterium. RNAcentral's name for it is "partial 16S ribosomal RNA". It matches the Rfam family "Bacterial small subunit ribosomal RNA", at positions 30 to 507 of the family's 1533-position model. The record is from RNAcentral.